AGAAAGCUUAAAAUGUGUAUCAUGACCCAUCCUCUACCCGGUGGGCCAAACCCCUUUUCUAACAUCGUGUUUUAGAGUGUAUCUGAUCAUCAAACUAAUUAAAUGAAUUAUCUGACCUUCCUUCUGAAUCAUAUUAAAAUAUCCCACAUAUUCACAUUCAAGCUAGCUGUGUUGGUACUCAUAGUAGUAGCAUUAGCAAUUAGCAUGACUUCCUGCUUGGGAUGUUUCAAUCCAGGGCCUGUUAGUUUGAGUCUCUCCCUCAUGCUGAUUGGCCUAUGGUUCUGUGAGCUGGCACAGCCCCCUGCUCGGGGCCUUCUCAUGAACAGUCCUACUGGAGAGGGGUGACUGCUGCAGUACUGCAUACUCGUGCAGCUCUCCUUAAGAGGCCAGUUGUCUCUGUUCAGGUGAAGCUCUACAGUGUUGAACAAAUGAAGGCCAGGUGGUGUUUAUUGGCGCUGGGUCUUGGCCUUGGUGUGUCUCACUACCACUGCAGGACCAGAUGUGGAGGAACAUCAAUCGUCCAUCUGUUUGAAUGGCCUUGGAGAGACAUAGCUGAGGAAUGUGAGAACUAUCUUGCCCCAAAUGGCUUUGCUGCUGUGCAGAUUUCCCCUCCCAGCGAGAACGUUGUGGUGACCCAGCCAUGGAGACCUUGGUGGGAGAGAUAUCAGCCAAUCAGCUAUAAGCUCUGCUCCAGGUCGGGGACAGAGCAGGAGCUGAGGGACAUGAUCUCCAGAUGCAACAAAGUUGGGGUGAAGAUCUACGCAGACGUGGUCAUCAAUCACAUGUGCUCGGCAAGCGCGGGGGAAGGCAGGCGCUCGACCUGUGGAUCAUACUUCAAUGCCAGAGAAGAGGAGUUCCCAUCUGUGCCCUACUCAGCUUCCCACUUCAACGAUGACAAAUGCACCACCGCUAGUGGAAAUAUUGAGAAUUACCAAGACAUUUAUCAGCUCACAGCUAGUGCUGCGCAGGUGCGUGACUGCCGUCUGGUGGGGCUUCUGGAUCUGGCCCAUCGCAAGGAGCACGUGAGGGAGAGGGUGGCUGGCUACAUGAACACGCUUGUGGACAUGGGGGUGGCCGGUUUCAGGGUGGAUGCCUGCAAACACAUGUGGCCAGAGGACCUGAAGGCAAUCUAUGGCAGACUGCACAACCUCAACACUGAGUGGUUUCCAGAAGGUUCCAAACCUUUCGUUUACCAAGAGGUCAUUGACCUUGGUGGAGAACCCAUAAAGGCGAGUGAAUACUCCAGGCUUGGCCAUGUAACGGAGUUCAAAUAUGGAGCUAAGCUAGGAUCUGUCAUUCGCAGAUGGAACGGAGACAAGCUCGCUGACCUUAAGACAUGGGGAGAAAGCUGGGGACUGAUGCCUUCCGACCAGGCCCUGGUGUUUGUGGAUAACCAUGACAACCAGAGAGGGCAUGGAGCAGGGGGGGCAUCUAUUCUCACCUUCUGGGAGCCGAGAAUGUACAAAAUGGCUGUGGCCUUCAUGCUGGCUCAUCCUUACGGCGUGACCAGACUGAUGUCGAGCUACCGCUGGGACCGGAGUCUGGUGGAAGGGAGGGUGGGUGGCUCCUGUCAGGAUCAGAACGACUGGAUGGGCCCUCCCAGCUAUCCAGAUGGCUCCACCAAGCCCGUCCCCAUCAACCCAGACGGCAGCUGUGGGGAGGGUUGGGUAUGCGAACACAGAUGGCAUCAAAUCAGGAAUAUGGUCAUGUUCCGCAAUGUGGCCCAUGGGCAGCCAUUAUUGAACUGGUGGGACAAUGGCGGGAAUCAGAUUGCUUUUGGACGAGGUGAUCGUGGAUUCAUAGUCAUCAAUAACGAUGAUUGCACUCUGGAUGCCCUGCUGCAAACGGGCAUGCCUGCAGGGAGCUACUGCGAUGUGAUAUCCGGCCAGAGGACAGCCGCUGGCAUGGGCUGCACGGGGAAGCGGAUCACCGUAGGGGAAGAUGGAAGAGCCCAUUUCACCAUCAAGGCCACCGAACAGGACCCCUUCGUUGCCAUCCAUGCAGGCUCAAAGUUGUGAUCAGGUGGAAACUGUUGGGACUCUCCUGGCCUGAAAGACAUUGGCCCUGUAUCAGAGACAGAGAGUGAUGAAGCCAGACUGACUGCAGUGGAUAGACUGAUGGGUGGAGUAUGACCUGAAUGCAAGUUUCACCAGUUCAUGAACACUUUGGGAACCACUGGAUUAACCCAUUAAGACCAGGACUGUUGUCAGCUUGCAGUGGAAAGUGCCAUCGGUUACACCCCAGUGCAGCGCUGGCACUCACCAUUUGGGCUGGGUGAUGCACAUUGUGAAUGAAGCAGCCCAACUCCACACCAAACCCUCAGGAGGGCCACCUUUCGCAAGGUCAGUCCCCAGCCACCGCCAUGGUUAAAUCCGGCAUCUGUAUGGCUGCUGCGUCGGCCAUGUUUGCACAGGGAAGGGAACGCCACAUGAGGUGAGACAGCAAAGGUGAAAUGCAGCAUGACAUUCCACUUUGUUGUCAUGGCAACUCUGUGCUUGAUGAAAAACUGAAAAACAAUAAACAGGGGGGAAAAAAUAGGAAAAAGAA
RNA transcript from Clupea harengus (Atlantic herring), 2547 nucleotides. It is a transcript of the gene named alpha-amylase-like, with no coding region annotated. NCBI's taxonomy places the organism in Eukaryota, Metazoa, Chordata, Actinopteri, Clupeiformes, Clupeidae. The record is from RefSeq and is a predicted model, not a curated record.